GCGGGUGCCUAUACAUGCAAGUCGAACGAACUCUGGUAUUGAUUGGUGCUUGCAUCAUGAUUUACAUUUGAGUGAGUGGCGAACUGGUGAGUAACACGUGGGAAACCUGCCCAGAAGCGGGGGAUAACACCUGGAAACAGAUGCUAAUACCGCAUAACAACUUGGACCGCAUGGUCCGAGCUUGAAAGAUGGCUUCGGCUAUCACUUUUGGAUGGUCCCGCGGCGUAUUAGCUAGAUGGUGGGGUAACGGCUCACCAUGGCAAUGAUACGUAGCCGACCUGAGAGGGUAAUCGGCCACAUUGGGACUGAGACACGGCCCAAACUCCUACGGGAGGCAGCAGUAGGGAAUCUUCCACAAUGGACGAAAGUCUGAUGGAGCAACGCCGCGUGAGUGAAGAAGGGUUUCGGCUCGUAAAACUCUGUUGUUAAAGAAGAACAUAUCUGAGAGUAACUGUUCAGGUAUUGACGGUAUUUAACCAGAAAGCCACGGCUAACUACGUGCCAGCAGCCGCGGUAAUACGUAGGUGGCAAGCGUUGUCCGGAUUUAUUGGGCGUAAAGCGAGCGCAGGCGGUUUUUUAAGUCUGAUGUGAAAGCCUUCGGCUCAACCGAAGAAGUGCAUCGGAAACUGGGAAACUUGAGUGCAGAAGAGGACAGUGGAACUCCAUGUGUAGCGGUGAAAUGCGUAGAUAUAUGGAAGAACACCAGUGGCGAAGGCGGCUGUCUGGUCUGUAACUGACGCUGAGGCUCGAAAGUAUGGGUAGCAAACAGGAUUAGAUACCCUGGUAGUCCAUACCGUAAACGAUGAAUGCUAAGUGUUGGAGGGUUUCCGCCCUUCAGUGCUGCAGCUAACGCAUUAAGCAUUCCGCCUGGGGAGUACGGCCGCAAGGCUGAAACUCAAAGGAAUUGACGGGGGCCCGCACAAGCGGUGGAGCAUGUGGUUUAAUUCGAAGCUACGCGAAGAACCUUACCAGGUCUUGACAUACUAUGCAAAUCUAAGAGAUUAGACGUUCCCUUCGGGGACAUGGAUACAGGUGGUGCAUGGUUGUCGUCAGCUCGUGUCGUGAGAUGUUGGGUUAAGUCCCGCAACGAGCGCAACCCUUAUUAUCAGUUGCCAGCAUUAAGUUGGGCACUCUGGUGAGACUGCCGGUGACAAACCGGAGGAAGGUGGGGAUGACGUCAAAUCAUCAUGCCCCUUAUGACCUGGGCUACACACGUGCUACAAUGGAUGGUACAACGAGUUGCGAACUCGCGAGAGUAAGCUAAUCUCUUAAAGCCAUUCUCAGUUCGGAUUGUAGGCUGCAACUCGCCUACAUGAAGUCGGAAUCGCUAGUAAUCGCGGAUCAGCAUGCCGCC
RNAcentral lists this ribosomal RNA (1354 nucleotides) under Lactiplantibacillus plantarum. RNAcentral describes it as "bacterial SSU rRNA". It matches the Rfam family "Bacterial small subunit ribosomal RNA", at positions 39 to 1361 of the family's 1533-position model. The record is from RNAcentral. Lineage: Bacteria; Bacillati; Bacillota; Bacilli; Lactobacillales; Lactobacillaceae.